CAGCUAGUUGGUGAGGUAAUGGCUCACCAAGGCUACGACGGGUAGGGGACCUGAGAGGGUGACCCCCCACAAUGGAACUGAAACACGGUCCAUACACCUACGGGUGGCAGCAGUAGGGAAUAUUGCACAAUGGGCGAAAGCCUGAUGCAGCAACGCCGCGUGUGCGAUGAAGGCCUUCGGGUCGUAAAGCACUUUUCUGAGGGAUGAGCAAGGACAGUACCUCAGGAAUAAGUCUCGGCUAACUACGUGCCAGCAGCCGCGGUAAAACGUAGGAGGCAAGCGUUAUCCGGAUUCACUGGGCGUAAAGCGCGUGCAGGCGGUUCGGUAAGUUGGGCGUGAAAUCUCCUGGCUUAACUAGGAGAGGUCGUUCAAUACUACCGGACUUGAGAGUGAUAGAGGAAGAUGGAAUUCCCGGUGUAGUGGUGAAAUGCGUAGAUAUCGGGAGGAACACCAGUGGCGAAAGCGAUCUUCUGGAUCAUUUCUGACGCUCAGACGCGAAAGCUAGGGUAGUAAACGGGAUUAGAGACCCCGGUAAUCCUAGCCGUAAACGAUGUAAACUUGGCGUCGGUGGCUUAAACUCCAUCGGUGCCGCAGCUAAC
This 599-nucleotide ribosomal RNA is filed under the name uncultured bacterium. RNAcentral's name for it is "SSU rRNA". It matches the Rfam family "Bacterial small subunit ribosomal RNA", at positions 242 to 856 of the family's 1533-position model. The record is from RNAcentral.